This 468-nucleotide ribosomal RNA is filed under the name uncultured bacterium. RNAcentral's name for it is "partial 16S ribosomal RNA". It matches the Rfam family "Bacterial small subunit ribosomal RNA", at positions 28 to 507 of the family's 1533-position model. The record is from RNAcentral.
GAUGAACGCUGGCGGCGUGCUUAACACAUGCAAGUCGAACGGAAAGGCCCAAGCUUGCUUGGGUACUCGAGUGGCGAACGGGUGAGUAACACGUGGGUGAUCUGCCCUGCACUUCGGGAUAAGCCUGGGAAACUGGGUCUAAUACCGGAUAGGACGAUGGUUUGGAUGCCAUUGUGGAAAGUUUUUUCGGUGUGGGAUGAGCUCGCGGCCUAUCAGCUUGUUGGUGGGGUAAUGGCCUACCAAGGCGUCGACGGGUAGCCGGCCUGAGAGGGUGUACGGCCACAUUGGGACUGAGAUACGGCCCAGACUCCUACGGGAGGCAGCAGUGGGGAAUAUUGCACAAUGGGCGCAAGCCUGAUGCAGCGACGCCGCGUGGGGGAUGACGGCCUUCGAGUUGUAAACUCCUUUCGCUAGGGACGAAGCGUUUUUGUGACGGUACCUGGAGAAGAAGCACCGGCUAACUACGUG